This 461-nucleotide ribosomal RNA is filed under the name uncultured bacterium. Its description in RNAcentral is "bacterial SSU rRNA". It matches the Rfam family "Bacterial small subunit ribosomal RNA", at positions 29 to 534 of the family's 1533-position model. The record is from RNAcentral.
AACGAACGCUGGCGGCAUGCCUAACACAUGCAAGUCGAACGAGACCUUCGGGUCUAGUGGCGCACGGGUGCGUAACGCGUGGGAACCUGCCUUUAGGUUCGGAAUAACUCAGAGAAAUUUGAGCUAAUACCGGAUAAUGUCUUCGGACCAAAGAUUUAUCGCCUUUAGAUGGGCCCGCGUUGGAUUAGCUAGUUGGUGGGGUAAAGGCCUACCAAGGCGACGAUCCAUAGCUGGUCUGAGAGGAUGAUCAGCCACACUGGGACUGAGACACGGCCCAGACUCCUACGGGAGGCAGCAGUGGGGAAUAUUGGGACAAUGGGCGAAAGCCUGAUCCAGCAAUGCCGCGUGAGUGAUGAAGGCCUUAGGGUUGUAAAGCUCUUUUACCCGAGAUGAUAAUGACAGUAUCGGGAGAAUAAGCUCCGGCUAACUCCGUGCCAGCAGCCGCGGUAAUGUGACUACUG